AUGGAAGGAAGGGUUUGAUGAGAGGGCUGAUGUUAUGAUGUUAAAAUUUGGAGUAAAGGCCUGGGAAUUAAGAGCUCUACCACAGUAGGGUGGGGAAAGAGGGGUAUUGUCCCUUAAGGGCUGGAUUCUAGAACUCCUGGUAGAAUUGCUCUCCAGAGACACAAGACUCUGACUAGUCAAUGAAUAUCAGUUGAACUCUUGAGAAGCAGAUAAAAGGCCUCCUUUGGCAAGAUUCGAAUGCUAGGCCAUAAAGGAAAGAACACAUGCUGAAAUAAUAGGUAUCCUCAGAAAUCAGGAAAAUAUCCUCCAAAAUGUUGACAUUGAAAAGAUAGCAAGCAAAGAAGUGAAGGUUUCACAAGAAAAUGAAUAAACUCAAGUCAACUGAAAAUACACAAAGAAACAGAUGACAAGGAUAUAACAAUUUUCUGUAAU
Molecule: long non-coding RNA, 432 nt
Organism: Mustela erminea (ermine)
Lineage: Eukaryota; Metazoa; Chordata; Mammalia; Carnivora; Mustelidae
Exons: 3
Source: RefSeq, a predicted model, not a curated record